RNAcentral lists this ribosomal RNA (465 nucleotides) under Vreelandella stevensii. RNAcentral describes it as "partial 16S ribosomal RNA". It matches the Rfam family "Bacterial small subunit ribosomal RNA", at positions 338 to 795 of the family's 1533-position model. Lineage: Bacteria; Pseudomonadati; Pseudomonadota; Gammaproteobacteria; Oceanospirillales; Halomonadaceae. The record is from RNAcentral.
CCUACGGGGGGCAGCAGUGGGGAAUAUUGGACAAUGGGGGGAACCCUGAUCCAGCCAUGCCGCGUGUGUGAAGAAGGCCCUCGGGUUGCAAAGCACUUUCAGUGAGGAAGAACGCCUGGUGGUUAAUACCCAUCAGGAAAGACAUCACUCACAGAAGAAGCACCGGCUAACUCCGUGCCAGCAGCCGCGGUAAUACGGAGGGUGCGAGCGUUAAUCGGAAUUACUGGGCGUAAAGCGCGCGUAGGUGGCUUGAUAAGCCGGUUGUGAAAGCCCCGGGCUCAACCUGGGAACGGCAUCCGGAACUGUCAAGCUAGAGUGCAGGAGAGGAAGGUAGAAUUCCCGGUGUAGUGGUGAAAUGCGUAGAGAUCGGGAGGAAUACCAGUGGCGAAGGCGGCCUUCUGGACUGACACUGACACUGAGGUGCGAAAGCGUGGGUAGCAAACAGGAUUAGAUACCCUUGUAGUC